UUCGCAAUGCCCGAAAGGGUGACGAAGCGACGCCGCGUGUGGGAAGAAGGCCUUCGGGUUGUAAACCACUGUCGGGAGUUAGGGAAUGUAAGGGUGUUAAUAGUAUCCUUACUUGACUAAGGCUCCGGAGGAAGCCACGGCUAACUCUGUGCCAGCAGCCGCGGUAAUACAGAGGCGGCAAGCGUUGUUCGGAAUUAUUGGGCGUAAAGAGCACGUAGGCGGCCUUGCAAGUCAGUUGUGAAAGCCUUCUGCUUAACGGAAGAACAGCAGCUGAUACUGCAAGGCUAGAGUGCGGAAGGGGAGAGUGGAACUUCUGGUGGAGCGGUGAAAUGCGUAGAUAUCAGAAGGAACACCGGCGGCGAAGGCGACUCUCUGGUCCGUAACUGGCGCUGAGUGUGCGAAAGCUAGGGGAGCAAACGGGAUUAGAUACCCCGGUAGUCCUAGCCGUAAACGAUGGGCACUAAGUAGAGGGGUUUU
This 477-nucleotide ribosomal RNA is filed under the name Candidatus Brocadia fulgida. RNAcentral's name for it is "bacterial SSU rRNA". It matches the Rfam family "Bacterial small subunit ribosomal RNA", at positions 365 to 832 of the family's 1533-position model. The record is from RNAcentral. Lineage: Bacteria; Pseudomonadati; Planctomycetota; Candidatus Brocadiia; Candidatus Brocadiales; Candidatus Brocadiaceae.